This 465-nucleotide ribosomal RNA is filed under the name uncultured bacterium. RNAcentral describes it as "bacterial SSU rRNA". It matches the Rfam family "Bacterial small subunit ribosomal RNA", at positions 338 to 795 of the family's 1533-position model. The record is from RNAcentral.
CCUACGGGGGGCUGCAGUGGGGAAUAUUGCACAAUGGGCGCAAGUCUGACGGAGCAACGCCGCGUGAGCGAAGAAGGUCUUCGGAUCGUAAAGCUCUGUUGUCGGGGAAGAACAAGUACGGUAGGAAAUGGCCGUACCUUGACGGUACCCGACGAGAAAGCUACGGCUAACUACGUGCCAGCAGCCGCGGUAAUACGUAGGUGGAAAGCGUUGCCCGGAAUUUUUGGGCGUAAAGCUCGCGCAGGCGGGUCUGUUAGUCUGAUGUGAAAUCUUGCGGCUUGACCGAAAGCGGUCGUUGGAAACCGUGUGGCAUGCGUGCACAACUGGAAGGCGGGAUUCCACGUGUAGAGGUGAACUGCGUAGAGAUGUGGAGGAACAGCAGUGGCGAAGGCGGCUUUCAGUUUUCUAACUGACGCUGACGCGCGAAGGCGUAGGGAGAAAAAAGGCUUGGAUACCCAUGUAGUC